This 195-nucleotide ribosomal RNA is filed under the name uncultured bacterium. RNAcentral describes it as "partial 16S ribosomal RNA". It matches the Rfam family "Bacterial small subunit ribosomal RNA", at positions 338 to 524 of the family's 1533-position model. The record is from RNAcentral.
CCUACGGGAGGCAGCAGUAGGGAAUCUUCCGCAAUGGACGAAAGUCUGACGGAGCAACGCCGCGUGAGUGAUGAAGGAAUUCGGAUGCAGAAGCUCUGUUGUUAGGGAAGAACAAGUGCCGUUCAAAUAGGGCGGCACCUUGACGGUACCUAACCAGAAAGCCACGGCUAACUACGUGCCAGCAGCCGCGGUAAU